ACAUACCGAAAUAAGGUGAAACCGCGAAAGGCUCAUUAAAUCAGUUAUGGUUCAUUAGAUCGUACCCACAUUUACUUGGAUAACUGUGGUAAUUCUAGAGCUAAUACAUGCAUACAGAGCUCUGACUGGAGACGGAAGGAGCGCUAUUAUUAGAUCAAAACCAAUCGGUGUUCCGACCUCCUAGCGUGGUCGGUCAUCGUAAUUUAUGACGAAUCUGAAUAAACGACGCUGAUCGCACGGUCUAGCACCGGCGACGCAUCUUUCAAAUGUCUGCCUUAUCAACUUUCGAUGGUAGGUUCUGCGCCUACCAUGGUUGUAACGGGUAACGGGGAAUCAGGGUUCGAUUCCGGAGAGGGAGCCUGAGAAACGGCUACCACAUCCAAGGAAGGCAGCAGGCGCGCAAAUUACCCACUCCCGGCACGGGGAGGUAGUGACGAAAAAUAACGAUACGGGACUCAUCCGAGGCCCCGUAAUCGGAAUGAGUACACUAUAAAUCCUUUAACGAGGAUCAAUUGGAGGGCAAGUCUGGUGCCAGCAGCCGCGGUUAUUCCAAUCUCCAAUAGCGUAUAUUAAAGUUGUUUGCGGUUAAAAAGCUCGUAGUCGAAUUUGUGUCCCGCGCCGCCGGUUCAUCGCUCGCGGUGUUUAACUGGCGUGUUCGCGGGACGUCCUGCCGGUGGGCGUCGGCGCGCGAAGUCGUAAGCGUCGUCGUCAGCGGUUCGCCCUAAAAAGCGUUUCCGCGCGACACGCCCGGCCCGCGCGCGGCCCAACUUUAAAUCCCACCGCGGUGCUCUUCACUGAGUGUCGAGGUGGGCCGGCACGUUUACUUUGAACAAAUUAGAGUGCUUAAAGCAGGCCAAAAAUUCGCCUGAAUAUUCUGUGCAUGGAAUAAUGGAAUAGGACCUCGGUUCUAUUUUGUUGGUUUUCGGAACCCCGAGGUAAUGAUUAAUAGGAACGGAUGGGGGCAUUCGUAUUGCGACGUUAGAGGUGAAAUUCUUGGAUCGUCGCAAGACGGACAGAAGCGAAAGCAUUUGCCAAAAACGCUUUCAUUGAUCAAGAACGAAAGUUAGAGGUUCGAAGGCGAUCAGAUACCGCCCUAGUUCUAACCAUAAACGAUGCCAGCUAGCGAUCCGCCGACGUUCCUCCGAUGACUCGGCGGGCAGCUUCCGGGAAACCAAAGCUUUUGGGUUCCGGGGGAAGUAUGGUUGCAAAGCUGAAACUUAAAGGAAUUGACGGAAGGGCACCACCAGGAGUGGAGCCUGCGGCUUAAUUUGACUCAACACGGGCAACCUCACCA
RNAcentral lists this ribosomal RNA (1294 nucleotides) under Aulacocyclus kaupi. RNAcentral's name for it is "SSU rRNA". It matches the Rfam family "Eukaryotic small subunit ribosomal RNA", at positions 65 to 1220 of the family's 1831-position model. Lineage: Eukaryota; Metazoa; Arthropoda; Insecta; Coleoptera; Passalidae. The record is from RNAcentral.